Molecule: transfer RNA, 63 nt
Filed under: Eurylepta cornuta
Lineage: Eukaryota; Metazoa; Platyhelminthes; Polycladida; Euryleptidae
Description: tRNA-His
Source: RNAcentral
AAAAAGAUAGUUUAAUAAGAAUUUUGCUUUGUGGUAGCAAGGGUGUACAAGUUGCUCUUUUUA